This 423-nucleotide ribosomal RNA is filed under the name uncultured bacterium. Its description in RNAcentral is "partial 16S ribosomal RNA". It matches the Rfam family "Bacterial small subunit ribosomal RNA", at positions 360 to 775 of the family's 1533-position model. The record is from RNAcentral.
AAUUUUGGACAAUGGGGGAAACCCUGAUCCAGCCAUCCCGCGUGUAUGAUGAAGGCCUUCGGGUUGUAAAGUACUUUUGGCAGAGAAGAAAAGGUAUCUCCUAAUACGAGAUACUGCUGACGGUAUCUGCAGAAUAAGCACCGGCUAAUUCUGUGCCAGCAGCCGCGGUAAUACAGAGGGUGCAAGCGUUAAUCGGAAUUACUGGGCGUAAAGCGCGCGUAGGUGGUUCGGAAAGAAAGAUGUGAAAUCCCAGGGCUCAACCUUGGAACUGCAUUUUUAACUGCCGGGCUAGAGUAUGUCAGAGGGGGGUAGAAUUCCACGUGUAGCAGUGAAAUGCGUAGAGAUGUGGAGGAAUACCGAUGGCGAAGGCAGCCCCCUGGGAUAAUACUGACGCUCAGACACGAAAGCGUGGGGAGCAAACAG